This 492-nucleotide ribosomal RNA is filed under the name uncultured bacterium. Its description in RNAcentral is "partial 16S ribosomal RNA". It matches the Rfam family "Bacterial small subunit ribosomal RNA", at positions 29 to 507 of the family's 1533-position model. The record is from RNAcentral.
AGUGAACGCUGGCGGUAGGCCUAACACAUGCAAGUCGAACGGCAGCACAGUAAGAGCUUGCUCUUACGGGUGGCGAGUGGCGGACGGGUGAGGAAUACAUCGGAAUCUACUUUUUCGUGGGGGAUAACGUAGGGAAACUUACGCUAAUACCGCAUACGACCUACGGGUGAAAGCAGGGGAUCUUCGGACCUUGCGCGAUUGAAUGAGCCGAUGUCGGAUUAGCUAGUUGGCGGGGUAAAGGCCCACCAAGGCGACGAUCCGUAGCUGGUCUGAGGGGAUGAUCAGCCACACUGGAACUGAGACACGGUCCAGACUCCUACGGGAGGCAGCAGUGGGGAAUAUUGGACAAUGGGCGCAAGCCUGAUCCAGCCAUACCGCGUGGGUGAAGAAGGCCUUCGGGUUGUAAGGCCCUUUUGUUGGGAAAGAAAAGCAGCAGGUUAAUACCCCGCUGUUCUGACGGUACCCAAAGAAUAAGCACCGGCUAACUUCGUG